CGCUGCCGCCGCCGGUGCGAGGAGCGAAGUAGAGGCAGGAACUUCUCCUCCGGGAGCUGGGCGCGCCGCGGGGACAAAGUCCUCGGGGGCUGCGGCGCUCCGCACCCGCGGGCAGAUUGCCAACGCUAAGAAAACAGAGACUUCCAGCAAAAAAUUCUUCAGUUCAUGGAGCAACAAGGGCAGUGUUAGGAAUACAUCCCACCCUUGUGCUUCUGCUCCAGGAUGCAGUGAGAAGAAAGGCAUGCAGAGAGCAAAUAAUUAUGCAAGAAACUGUUACAGCGAAGAAAAAAACAGUUAUUGGAUCCAAAGCUAUUUUUCAUGCCUUGGCACAAAAGGAAUAAAGGAAUGUAACAGAAGCUGCUCCUGCUAGUCUGGGUGGGCAGAAGAACUUGAGGUCCAAGGAUGCGAGUGGGAGAGAGCCUACACAGAACCCAGGAUGAAAGCAUGGCCCAUCUGGCUGUCUCUAGGCAUCAGCUGGGAUGUCCUCUCCUGCUAGGCAAGGUUUGUAGAACAUAGC
Molecule: long non-coding RNA, 517 nt
Organism: Gallus gallus (chicken)
Lineage: Eukaryota; Metazoa; Chordata; Aves; Galliformes; Phasianidae
Source: Ensembl